This is a long non-coding RNA of Sinocyclocheilus rhinocerous, 244 nucleotides long. RefSeq lists it as uncharacterized. The transcript has 3 exons. NCBI's taxonomy places the organism in Eukaryota, Metazoa, Chordata, Actinopteri, Cypriniformes, Cyprinidae. The record is from RefSeq and is a predicted model, not a curated record.
AGAUGUGGGAGGGACUGAAAGUUGAGGCUUGUGCCAAUUACACAUAUGGGCAACCUGUACCUGGUCAAGCGUUGGUGGAAGUAUGUCGUAAGCCGUUCCCGUACGCUGGCCUGUCUCGUGUGUGUCUUAUCUCAACCGCUAUGAUGAACAACACGGGCUGUAUUUCCCUUGCCGUCAGUGUUUUUCAACACCAAAUUUGAAAAUUACCUGCAGGAUUUCUUUCUAGUUAACGUGAAUGUCACUG